This is a non-coding RNA of Solanum lycopersicum (tomato), 3100 nucleotides long. The record is from RefSeq and is a predicted model, not a curated record. Lineage: Eukaryota; Viridiplantae; Streptophyta; Magnoliopsida; Solanales; Solanaceae.
CUUUUAAGUAAUCUAGAAAAGAAAUAAAGAUAAGGAAGGACUUACCUGUGCGUGCGGCGAACAACGACUAGAGAGAUCGACAACAUUGAAGUUACUAGCCCGGACUUUGUGACAUUUUCUCUUCUCCUUGUCUGAGGCUUGUUGUGGAGAAUUGUGAGUUUGAAAAAAGUGUGGAUAUCAAAAUAGGGAUCUCAACAUAAUUCUGCUCAAUGUCGUUCUCUUCCAGAGAUGGAAGAGAAGAGGUGUACGAAUUAAAUUGGUGGAAAAAUAAAGAAAUUUGGAGCUAAAAAGAAUAUAAGAUGGAAGGUUGAAGAAGGAAAUUAAGCAGGCAGCUUAAUUUAUUAAAUUGAAUAUAAUAUAUACAUUUUAUAAAGUAAGAAUGAAGAAUUAAAAUUGGAGAAGGAGCGUCAGGCGACAAGCACAAAAAUUUGGAAAGCACGGCGAAUAAAAUGGAAUUCAACUCCUUUUAGAUUUUGAGCUUCUAAAUUAAUUUGGACUCAGUUAUUUUGUUUAGGGUUUUUCAAAUAGUCCAUAGAAAUGAUUAUUUGAGCAGCAAUAUAGAAGAGGUAGUUUGUAAGAGAAAGCCGACAAUACUUUUUAGGGUUCUUUUCUUCUUCUUGUUUAUCAGAUAUUAGUAGCUAAAGCCCUUGUUCUGGGCUAUGGCUACGGAUUGAAUGUUGAUUAUUAAUAGCGUUUUGAAUAAACUUUUGGUUGUCAUUAUAAGUUACUUCGAUAUUAUUAUUUUAGUAUUUCUUGACUCGCCAUAGAGAAAUAAAUCUAGUGCCUAAUCUUGAAUUCACCAUAGGAGAGAUUAGAUAGACCAGAGAACACAGAGAGUUCAGUCCGCCCAUUAAAUUGAGAAAAUUAGGCUCAGGAGUGACACCCGAAAGACGAACACUUUGCUUGGCUACAAAAACCAAUGAUAUAUAAAAGCUCGCCAGUUAGUCUAUUUAUCCCUGCUCAAUGAUGUGGUUAGAUAUCUAAUAGGGUUAGGCGACGAGAGGCGUGUAACCCGGAUUAUACUAUCAACCCAAAAAAGCAGUAAUUUGACAAUUGAAGUAAAUUCUAAAUCAAAAAUAUGAUACAUGAAAUCCAAUAUAUGUUGUAGCCCUGGGUUUUCCAAUCAUUAUAAGUGACUUUAUUAUUUAAUUCCUUCAUUCAUUUAUAUUGGCAUUCUUAAAUAAAUAUUUAGACUAGUAUAAUUUAGUAAAAAUAGUUAUUUGACAAGUCCAUUGAGAUCGAUAAUCUGGUUUUUUAAGAGUCACUGAAUUACUUGUGCGACCACGUACAUUUGCGUGUUCAAUUGGGAGCAACAAGUUUUUGAUGUCGCUACCGGGGAAAUUCAACUUCUAACGAUUGAAUAGUAUCUCUCGUAUGAACUGUUAUAUAUGACAACCCAACUGGUCGAAGAAAAAGGUGAGCUCACACAAGAAAUCGAUUAAUCUGACUCAGAUAUUCAUGACAUAGAGGCUCACAUGAAACAAAGCUUGAGGCAUUUGAAGCCCAGUUAUUAAUUGUGUUGAAUUAUUACCAACUAAUGGAACAAAAAGAGGAAGCUCAACCAUUCAAAUAUACUUUAUUCCUUAAUAUCGAUGUUAAUAAUGAGUACAAAAGUGAGAAUGUUGUAAAUAAUGUUGCUUUAGAGUUGAGGAAACUUUAAUCUCAUUCAAACACUUUUCUACUAAAUCUGCACCAAUUGAUGAGUGCAUUGAUGUGGAACAAGGAUCCUACAUUCUAAUGCUUUAGUCAACGUAGCGAACAAUAUUUCUCACUUAAGGACCAAGAAGUGCAAGAUGCGACAUAUUAUACUUGGUUCCUUUAUAUUUAUACCACCACCUCUUGAGAGGAGUAGAAAAUAUAUGAAAAGUUAGGGAUAAAAGUCAUAAGUUCAAAGUGGAAGAAAGUGGUGAAUUUAUUUGUGUCGUGUCACGACGUUAAAGUAAGCGCUAAUUGGGAGGCAACCUAAUUUAUAGUGUAACUUCUUAGUUUUAUUUUUUAUUAUUAGUAUUAUUAUUUUGUGUUGUUCUUACAGAUUUUGGAGAAGUCUGAUUAUCCAAAAUUUGAAGCCAAGGAGCACAUUGGAGCUUAAAUGUGGGGUGCGUACGACCCUUGAUGAAAAUUGAGAAAACAUGCUACUAGCUAGGCCCAAAGGCCUCAACAAAUUUUCCUAACCCUUGUUUUAAAUUUUUAUUUGAUGGUUCGAGGACAUAGCAUCUUUUUGAGUGUAGGGUAGAGGAAUAAAUUCUUAAUUUGUGUAUUUUAUUAGGAUGGGUUCCUCGCAUUUUGUUUUUGAUUUUUUUCCCGAGGAUAAUCCAUUUGAACCGAGUAUCUUUUAUUUUUUUAGGAAUAAGUUUUUUUAUUAUUUAUUUAUUUUUUAGAGAAAGUAAAAGACUUUUUUCAUUGGUGUGAUACUUGUUAUUAGGUCUAAUUUUUUAUUAGUACUUUCUUGUGAAUGCUUGAAAAAAAAUUACAUACUCUUUGAGACCUAACUCAUGGGUGUGACUUUAUAUAUAACUUAUUUUAUUUUGUAGUUUGUUAUGAUCAUGUCUUUCUUAGAAGUGAAAUUGGUCCUUCUUGAUUGAUACGUGUGCCAUAUGUGGUGAGAUUUUAUUUAUUUCUUGUUUUGCAUCUUAGUCUAGAACUUGCCCUUCAUGUUAUUGAAACGAAAUAAAAGACGAUGCUUCUUUUAGGAGAUGAUAAUAGGCUUUAUUUUAUUUAUCUUUUAAUUUUAUCCUUUUCAGAUAUUAUAUCACUAGUUAUCCUUUUUGAGCCUAUAGCCUUUUGUUAUAUUUUGCCCUUGACUAUUUAUUGAAUUCCUAAUUUUUGCACCUUGCUUCCUUGAGCAUUAUUGUAUAGACUUAUUCUAAUUAUCAAUUUUAAGAAAAAGAGAUGGUUGAGUGAAAAGGUAAACAAUGAUAGCUACAAAGUGCUUAAAAAUUCCUCUUUGGAAAAAUGUGAUGUGGGUGGGCUUUGUUCUGGGGGAGGCGCCUUGCCCAGCUUUAGAAAGUAAUAAAAGAUGAAAAAAAAAGUUACCUGAUGAUGCCUCUAGUUCUUCCGAGGACACAGUGCACCUUAACACAUGUAAAAUAUGUAAUAUGGG